This 454-nucleotide ribosomal RNA is filed under the name Clostridioides difficile. Its description in RNAcentral is "partial 23S ribosomal RNA". It matches the Rfam family "Bacterial large subunit ribosomal RNA", at positions 683 to 1136 of the family's 2925-position model. The record is from RNAcentral. Lineage: Bacteria; Bacillati; Bacillota; Clostridia; Peptostreptococcales; Peptostreptococcaceae.
UUUAACUGAGCGUUCAGUUACUUGACGUAGACCCGAAACCGGGCGACCUACCCAUGAGCAGGAUGAAGCGAAAGUAAAAUUUCGUGGAGGUCCGAACCCACGAGCGUUGAAAAGCUCGGGGAUGACUUGUGGGUAGCGGUGAAAUUCCAAUCGAGCCCGGAGAUAGCUGGUUCUCCCCGAAAUAGCUUUAGGGCUAGCCUCAAGGUGAGAGAUACGGAGGUAGAGCACUGAAUGUCCUAGGGGGUAUUGCACCUACCGAAGACUAUCAAACUCCGAAUGCCGUCAUCUUAUACUUGGGAGUCAGACUGUGGGUGAUAAGAUUCAUAGUCGAAAGGGCAACAGCCCAGAUCGUCAGCUAAGGUCCCUAAAUGUAAGUUAAGUGGUAAAGGAUGUGGGAUUGCACAGACAACCAGGAUGUUGGCUUAGAAGCAGCCACUCAUUCAAAGAGUGCGUA